This 361-nucleotide ribosomal RNA is filed under the name uncultured eukaryote. RNAcentral describes it as "partial 18S ribosomal RNA". It matches the Rfam family "Eukaryotic small subunit ribosomal RNA", at positions 593 to 976 of the family's 1831-position model. The record is from RNAcentral.
ACGAGUGUAUAUUUAAGUUGUUGCAGUUAAAAAGCUCGUAGUUGAACUUCUGUUCGUUCAGUAGAUGGUCAAACAUCGACUGGAUGAGCAUCCGCCUGAAAAAUCAUUCGGGUCUUCACUGAUUCAGUGAUGGAUCAGGCAUUUUACUUUGAAAAAAUUAGAGUGUUCAAAGCAGGCUAUCGCCUGAAUACAUUAGCAUGGAAUAAUAGAAUAGGACGCUGUUCAAUUUGUUGGUUAUUGAAUUGCGUAAUGAUUAAUAGGGACAGUUGGGGGCAUUUGUAUUUAAUUGUCAGAGGUGAAAUUCUUGGAUUUAUUAAAGACAAACUUAUGCGAAAGCAUUUGCCAAGGAUGUUUUCAUUAA